CAAGAUUGUCUUUCCUGACCCCUAGCUCUUGGAUGGUACAGAGGACCCCUGGAGCAUCCAAAAGAGAGGUUUCUGAUAACUUCGGGGAUUGUGACAAUGGAAUUAAAAAAAGUACAGGACUCAUGAAGAACUGAAGUGUUCAUGAAUGUCAAGCAAAGCAAGAAUAAACUGAAUGGACUGACCUAACAGAAAACUGAAGAUGCAAUGGGAGAAACUGGUUGUUUUGCCAAGGCUUUGACUGGAAGGGUAU
This 250-nucleotide long non-coding RNA is filed under the name Homo sapiens (human). Its description in RNAcentral is "HSALNT0328518". Lineage: Eukaryota; Metazoa; Chordata; Mammalia; Primates; Hominidae. The record is from RNAcentral.